This 520-nucleotide unclassified non-coding RNA is filed under the name Hevea brasiliensis (rubber tree). The record is from RNAcentral. Lineage: Eukaryota; Viridiplantae; Streptophyta; Magnoliopsida; Malpighiales; Euphorbiaceae.
AUGCUAAUCAUUGCUCAUCGACUUAAUACGAUCAUUGACUGUGACCGGAUCCUUCUGCUUGAUUCUGGCCAGGUACUGGAAUAUGAUACACCAGAGGAACUGUUAUCAAAUGAAGAUAGUGCUUUCUCUAAGAUGGUUCAAAGUACAGGGGCUGCAAAUGCUCAGUACUUGCGCAGUUUAGUACUAGGAGGGGAAGGAGAGAGUAGGUUUAGAACACGAGAGAACAAACAGUUAGAUGGGCAGAGGAAAUGGCUGGCCUCUUCUCGUUGGGCUGCUGCUGCACAGUUUGCCAUUGCUGUUAGCCUUACUUCAUCACAUAAUGACCUUCAGCGGUUGGAAGUUGCGGAUGAGGACAGUAUCCUGAAGAAAACAAAGGAUGCAGUGGUAACUUUGCAAGGAGUGUUGGAAGGGAAGCAUGACAAAGUAAUUGAUGAAUCAUUAAAUCAAUACCAAAUUUCCAGAGAGGGCUGGUGGUCAGCUCUUUACAAGAUGGUUGAAGGUCUGCUCAUCAUGGCAAGAC